AUUGAACGCUGGCGGCAUGCCUUACACAUGCAAGUCGAACGGUAACGGGCCUUCGGGUGCCGACGCGUGGCGGACGGGUGGGUAAUACAUCGGAACGUGCCCGGUCGUGGGGGAUAACGAGGCUAAAGCUUUGCUAAUACCGCAUCCGAUCUACGGAUGAGAGCAGUGGACCGCAAGGCCUUGCGCGGGCGGAGCGGCCGAUGGCCGCGUAGGUAGUUGGUGGGAUAAGAGCUUACCAAGCCGACGAUCUGUAGCUGGUCUGAGAGGAUGAUCGGCCACAUUGGGACUGAGACACGGCCCAGACUCCUACGGGAGGCAGCAGUGUGGAAUUUUGGACAAUGGGCGCAAGCCUGAUCCAGCCAUGCCGCGUGCAGGAUGAAGGCCUUCGGGUUGUAAACUGCUUUUGUACGGAACGAAAAGCCUUCUUUUAAUACAGGAGGGUCAUGACGGUACCGGAAGAAUAAGCACCGGCUAACUACGUG
This 482-nucleotide ribosomal RNA is filed under the name uncultured bacterium. RNAcentral describes it as "partial 16S ribosomal RNA". It matches the Rfam family "Bacterial small subunit ribosomal RNA", at positions 30 to 507 of the family's 1533-position model. The record is from RNAcentral.